CAGUCGCCGCGGUAAUACGUAGGUCCCGAGCGUUGUCCGGAUUUAUUGGGCGUAAAGCGAGCGCAGGCGGUUAGAUAAGUCUGAAGUUAAAGGCUGUGGCUUAACCAUAGUACGCUUUGGAAACUGUUUAACUUGAGUGCAAGAGGGGAGAGUGGAAUUCCAUGUGUAGCGGUGAAAUGCGUAGAUAUAUGGAGGAACACCGGUGGCGAAAGCGGCUUUCUGGCUUGUAACUGACGCUGAGGCUCGAAAGCGUGGGGAGCAAACAGGAUUAGAUACCCCAGUAGUCCCUGUCUCUUAUACA
This 301-nucleotide ribosomal RNA is filed under the name uncultured bacterium. Its description in RNAcentral is "partial 16S ribosomal RNA". It matches the Rfam family "Bacterial small subunit ribosomal RNA", at positions 509 to 808 of the family's 1533-position model. The record is from RNAcentral.